Molecule: long non-coding RNA, 314 nt
Organism: Acanthopagrus latus (yellowfin seabream)
Lineage: Eukaryota; Metazoa; Chordata; Actinopteri; Spariformes; Sparidae
Exons: 3
Source: RefSeq, a predicted model, not a curated record
UUUCCAUGCAAGAUUAAAGAAGCACACGCACAUGUGGACGCUGCACAGUAUGGUGGACCCGAUAAAGACAAGUAUCGAAAUGCCACAGGCUACACUGUGAAAGAAGCACCAUUCAGAGAGAGGGUAAUCAUUCUCUGGUGGUGGUGGGUGGGCGCCCAGAGAGUGGAGUCCGGCUGCGUUCAGUGACGGUCACCUCUCUCCUGCUGCUUGCGGUUCUCAAUGAUGCCGGGCGUGUCGACGAAGGUGACCGUCUCCAGCAGCUUGUGGGGCAUCUCAAUGCCCACCAGCCGCUCCAGGAAGCCUUGGCCGAACUU